AAAUGUCCUUUCGGAACAUUGCUAAGUUUUUAUUAUGUUUCUUUUGUUUUAUUAUAGAAGCAAAUGUAUUACUGACUUUUUCAAACCAACUCUCAAAAAAGAUAGAACUGUGUUGUGCUCUCCAGAAAAAGGAAAUGGACGAGCUGGACAUACAGUUUCAUGUGUAGGCCAUGUUAAAAAAAAUGCAUCUUCUUCAAAGCAACAUAGAAGGAAGAAAUUGCCUUGCUCACCAUCAGGCAGAAGCCCAAUAAUUGAUGCUUUAUUCCGAAAGGCUAAGUCAGAGAAAAACAACAGUUCAGAAAAUAGUGUUAAUCAUCCAAAACCUGUGGUUCGGAGACUGUUCAUAUCUAAGGCCUUACCUGAUGGUUCUUUCAUAUUAAAAGAUCCUAUUUAUUCAAAAAAUUCAGAAAGAAAUGAGAAAUAUCCUGUUCAGACAAAGACACAUUUAAUGGAUAAUAGUAGUAGACAACAUAAAGCAGAAUAUGAAGACCUAGACUCAACUGGUUCAAGCUUGAAUAAAUGGCCUUUCACUUCAGGAAAUAACAGUCUGAAGAAGCAGAGUCAUGCAACUCAGUGUCAAAAAACAGUCUAUUCCAGGUUGCCACAAGUCAGUUCUUCAUCUCCGAAAUCAUUAGGAACCGUUCGCAAAAAGAGACAAGAGAAGGUAAAAAAAAAAAAAACCUGCACCGUUUCUGAAAAUAAAUCUUUAGAAAUUAUUUUUUCUAUUCAAGUAUAUUUAGAGAAUAACUGCAUAGCAUAUUAAUGCAGGUAGUCUUUGACUUACAGUGAUAGCAUUUAGGCUUAGAUAGUGCUUCACAGCACUCUGGGUAGUUUACAGUGUAGAAGUAGCAUUUGCAUAUUGCCCCCGACAAUCUGGGUCAUCAUUUUACCAACCUUGGAAGGAUAAAAGGCUGAGUAAACCCUGUCAGGAUUGAACUCCAGGCUAUGGGCAGAAUUUUGCCCGCAUAUCGCACUUUAACCACUGCAACUACCAGGGCUGAAACUGGUCACUUAGUUCAGAGUUACAGCAGACACUUUCCUUAAAAUUACUUACUAUCUGGUUCCAAAAUUAUGGCCACUGUAGUGCCUCUGCAGUCAUUCACCCUUAUGAUUGACUGUAGGAAUGCUGCAGCAUCCCUUCCUGCUUAUUUCCUUCCUUUCCCCCGCCACUGGGUCCCUGCGGGCCUUGGGCCUUCUUCCCACCAGGUUGGGCCCCCACACUUCCUUACCUUUUGAAGAUCUCAGGAACUCAGAUUAGGGAAAAAGGACAAUUUGCUCUGUUCCUAGGCCACAUGGAAGUAGCCACCAUGUUUUGGGCAGCCACAUUAAAUUGUGGGCACUCCAAAAGUAGCAGCUAAUUCCAGGAUUGCACCCCACAGAUCAGGGAUGGAACAGCUUGCUCUACUUCCUUAACUCAAACUCUUGACCACUUUCCAGAGCUCACGCUAAGGAAGUAGAGCAUGCUUCUUUGUUCCUGGCCACAUGGCACAGUCCAGAAAUGGCUGCCAUUUUCUCUUUGACUUUAAAAUAAUUAUAAUCCUAAUUGGAUUAAGAAAGUGAGGGUUUAACCCAGUGUCUUAAUGCAUGCUCUGCUGCAGCUGGAAGCUCAUUGCUUCUUCUACAGCUCCUGGUUCUCAAAAGUCAAAAAUCCCCCAGAAGAACUCUGCAAUCUCCUUGUGAGGAGCAACCUUCUAGAGCCCAAGAGGGUGGUCUUUUGGCUUUUCCUUGUCUGGCUUAAUGCCUGAGUACUGGUCUUUGGCACAAUGUUGUCUCCACUCCUUUGUCUUAGCCUGCCAUUUCCUCACCCAGAAGCCAAAAAAGCUCUAAAUGUUUUAUUGGGUUUGUAAUUGUACUAACUAAAUCAUAAUGUAGUUAGGUUUUACAUUACUGUGUUGUGUGAUAUUAACAGUUGUGACCCAAACUAUCUUUAGUACAAAUUCUGAACAAUGUAAUGAUUUUCUCAGGAGAGAGUUGCUUAACCUUGGUUGGUUUGCUAUAAACUGAAGCUUCUUUCUGCCUUUGAAUUUGUGUAAGUGUUUAUCGGUUGUAAAUGUAUUACUUCUUCUAAGAUGCUGUGAUUCUGCAGGUGAUAUUUUAACUGCUUCCAAUAAGCAGUAAUGGUACUGUUUAAUCCUGAAAUGUCUGCUAUUCUGAAAAGUAUCUAUAUUAUGUAAAAGCUUACUUGUAUAUUCUAAAACCUUUUUUCUGUAUAUUUUUAUUUUAAGGGCACCAAAGAUUUUUUAAGGAAAAAUUCAAGCUCAACUUCACUGGAAUCUUCUUCAGGUGCAAACAGAAAAAUAAAUGAUGUAACAUAAAAUUUAAAUUUAUUCUA
Molecule: long non-coding RNA, 2332 nt
Filed under: Notechis scutatus (mainland tiger snake)
Lineage: Eukaryota; Metazoa; Chordata; Lepidosauria; Squamata; Elapidae
Description: lncRNA (ENSNSUG00000006577.1)
Source: RNAcentral